RNAcentral lists this ribosomal RNA (497 nucleotides) under uncultured bacterium. Its description in RNAcentral is "partial 16S ribosomal RNA". It matches the Rfam family "Bacterial small subunit ribosomal RNA", at positions 28 to 507 of the family's 1533-position model. The record is from RNAcentral.
GAUGAACGCUGGCGGCGUGCCUAAUACAUGCAAGUCGAGCGAACGGACGAGAAGCUUGCUUCUCUGAUGUUAGCGGCGGACGGGUGAGUAACACGUGGAUAACCUACCUAUAAGACUGGGAUAACUUCGGGAAACCGGAGCUAAUACCGGAUAAUAUUUUGAACCGCAGGGUUCAAAAGUGAAAGACGGUCUUGCUGUCACUUAUAGAUGGAUCCGCGCUGCAUUAGCUAGUUGGUAAGGUAACGGCUUACCAAGGCAACGAUGCAUAGCCGACCUGAGAGGGUGAUCGGCCACACUGGAACUGAGACACGGUCCAGACUCCUACGGGAGGCAGCGGUAGGGAAUCUUCCGAAAUGGGCGAAAGCCUGACGGAGCAACGCCGCGUGAGUGAUGAAGGUCUUCGGAUCGUAAAACUCUGUUAUUAGGGAAGAACAUAUGCGUAAGUAACUGUGCACAUCUUGACGGUACCUAAUCAGAAAGCCACGGCUAACUACGUG